This 918-nucleotide ribosomal RNA is filed under the name uncultured bacterium. RNAcentral describes it as "bacterial SSU rRNA". It matches the Rfam family "Bacterial small subunit ribosomal RNA", at positions 33 to 925 of the family's 1533-position model. The record is from RNAcentral.
AUGCUGGCGGCGUGCCUAACACAUGCAAGUCGAGCGGCAGCGAGUUUUACACUGAAUUCUGGAAGCUUCUGGGUAAUAUAGAAGAUUUAUUCAAGAAUUUUGUGUAAAAUGUCGGCGAGCGGCGGACGGCUGAGUAACGCGUAGGAAUUUGCCCCAAAGUGAGGAAUAACUGCCCGAAAGGGUAGCUAAUGCCGCAUAUGGUCUUCGGAUUAAAGCCUUCGGGCGCUUUGGGAGAAGCCUGCGUUGGAUUAGGUAGUUGGUAGGGUAAUGGCCUACCAAGCCGACAAUCCAUAGCUGGUCUGAGAGGAUGAUCAGCCAGACUGGAACUGAGACACGGUCCAGACUCCUACGGGAGGCAGCAGUGAGGAAUCUUCCACAAUGGGCGAAAGCCUGAUGGAGCAACGCCGCGUGAAGGAUGAAGGCCUUCGGGUUGUAAACUUCUUUUAUGAGUGAAGAAUAUGACGGUAACUCAUGAAUAAGCACCGGCUAACUACGUGCCAGCAGCCGCGGUCAUACGUAGGGUGCAAGCAUUAUCCGGAGUGACUGGGCGUAAAGAGUUGCGUAGGCGGUUUAAUAAGUGAAUAGUGAAACCUGGUGGCUCAACCAUACAGACUAUUAUUCAAACUGUUAAACUCGAGAAUGGUAGAGGUAACUGGAAUUUCUAGUGUAGGAGUGAAAUUCGUAGAUAUUAGAAGGAACACCGAUGGCGUAGGCAGGUUACUGGGCCAUUUCUGACGCUAAGGCACGAAAGCGUGGGGAGCGAACCGGAUUAGAUACCCGGGUAGUCCACGCCGUAAACGAUGGAUACUAGCUGUUGGAGGUAUCGACCCCUUCAGUAGCGAAGCUAACGCGUUAAGUAUCCCGCCUGUGGAGUACGGCCGCAAGACUAAAACAUAAAGGAAUUGACGGGGACCCGCA